UACGGAGGGUGCAAGCGUUGUCCGGAUUUAUUGGGUUUAAAGGGUGCGUAGGCGGCUGUUUAAGUCAGCGGUGAAAUCCUCCAGCUUAACUGGAGAAUUGCCAUUGAUACUGGAUAGCUUGAGUUCAGACGAGGUAGGCGGAAUUUAUGGUGUAGCGGUGAAAUGCAUAGAUACCAUAAAGAACACCGAUUGCGAAGGCAGCUUACUAGACUGAAACUGACGCUGAGGCACGAAAGCGUGGGUAGCAAACAGG
RNAcentral lists this ribosomal RNA (253 nucleotides) under uncultured prokaryote. RNAcentral's name for it is "partial 16S ribosomal RNA". It matches the Rfam family "Bacterial small subunit ribosomal RNA", at positions 524 to 776 of the family's 1533-position model. The record is from RNAcentral.